AGAGUUUGAUCCUGGCUCAGAUUGAACGCUGGCGGAAUGCUUUACACAUGCAAGUCGAGCGGCAGCGCGGGGGCAACCCUGGCGGCGAGCGGCGAACGGGUGAGUAAUGUAUCGGAACGUACCCAGUCGUGGGGGAUAACUAUCCGAAAGGAUAGCUAAUACCGCAUACGUCCUGAGGGAGAAAGCGGGGGACCGUAAGGCCUCGCGCGAUUGGAGCGGCCGAUAUCGGAUUAGCUAGUUGGUGAGGUAAAGGCUCACCAAGGCGACGAUCCGUAGCUGGUCUGAGAGGACGACCAGCCACACUGGAACUGAGACACGGUCCAGACUCCUACGGGAGGCAGCAGUGGGGAAUUUUGGACAAUGGGGGCAACCCUGAUCCAGCCAUUCCGCGUGAGUGAAGAAGGCCUUCGGGUUGUAAAGCUCUUUCAGCAGGAACGAAAC
RNAcentral lists this ribosomal RNA (441 nucleotides) under uncultured bacterium. RNAcentral's name for it is "bacterial SSU rRNA". It matches the Rfam family "Bacterial small subunit ribosomal RNA", at positions 8 to 451 of the family's 1533-position model. The record is from RNAcentral.